Non-coding RNA from Lonchura striata (white-rumped munia), 125 nucleotides. NCBI's taxonomy places the organism in Eukaryota, Metazoa, Chordata, Aves, Passeriformes, Estrildidae. The record is from RefSeq and is a predicted model, not a curated record.
CGUUCUGCCAGAAAGUAUCAAUUCUUUCUUCACGUGUGGAAGCCUCUGCCUUUUCUCACAUCUGCGGGGCGAGGAUAACAGACCAGCACACCAAAGUUUGGAGUAAAUUGGUCCUGAGCAUGUUU